CCUCACUCCUCCUGAAUUGUCUCUCUGCUUCAGAUAACCUCAUAACUCCCAACUGCAAGGGUUCAGGUUCAGCAGCUACAAUUGGAACAACAGGGUUGGAGAAGUGGGGAGCAAGAAAAGUGCUGUUUUUUCAUGGUUUGUUUCUGAUCCUUUCCCUUUCUCUUAGCCUGUUAUCUAUCUGUAUCAUAUAAGUUAUAUACUCGUUAC
Pelobates cultripes (western spadefoot toad) is the source of this 207-nucleotide non-coding RNA. The record is from the annotation of a GenBank genome assembly. NCBI's taxonomy places the organism in Eukaryota, Metazoa, Chordata, Amphibia, Anura, Pelobatidae.